UGAGUACGAGAUGCUACGGCAUCGAAGCAGUCUAUGUCAUACUUCCAAGAAAAGCUUGCACUGUCAGAAACAGAUAAUGCCUGUACCAUAACCGACACAGGUGGGUAGGUAGAGUAUACUAAGGGGCGCGAGAUAACUCUCUCUAAGGAACUCGGCAAAAUGACUCCGUAACUUCGGGAGAAGGAGUGCCUUAUUUUUAAGGUUGCAAUAACAAGAUCCAAGCAACUGUUUACCAAAAACACAGGUCUCCGCUAAGUCGUAAGACGAUGUAUGGGGGCUGACGCCUGCCCAGUGCCAGAAGGUUAAAGAAGUCGGUUAGCAUUCGCGAAGCUGGUAACUGAAGCCCUGGUGAACGGCGGCCGUAACAAUAACGGUCCUAAGGUAGCGAAAUUCCUUGUCGGGUAAGUUCCGACCCGCACGAAAGGCGUAAUGAUUUGGAUACUGUCUCGGAGAGGGGCUCGGUGAAAUAGACUUGUCUGUGAAGAUGCGGACUACCUGCACCUGGACAGAAAGACCCUAUGAAGCUUUACUGUAACUUGAAAUUGAAAUUGGACUUUAUUCGCGCAGUAUAGGUGGGAGGCGUUGAAAAUAUUCUUGCGGGAAUAUUGGAGCCAUCAGUGAGAUACCACUCUUGUAAUGUUAGAUUUCUAACUUUAUAUCAUUAUCUGGUUAAAGAACAGUUUCAGGCGGGCAGUUUGACUGGGGCGGUCGCCUCCCAAAUGGUAACGGAGGCGCACAAAGGUUUCCUCUGAACGGGUAGAAAUCGUAUCUAGAGUGUAGGCAUAAGGAAGCUUGACUGUGAGACCUACAAGUCGAGCAGGGACGAAAGUCGGUCUUAGUGAUCUGACGGUGCUGAGUGGAAAGGCCGUCACUCAACGGAUAAAAGUUACUCUAGGAUAACAGGCUGAUCUCCCCCAAGAGUUCACAUCGACGGGGAGGUUUGGCACCUCGAUGUCGGCUCAUCGCAUCCUGGGGGCGGUAGUACGUCCCAAGGGUUGGGCUGUUCGCCCAUGAAAGCGGUACGCGAGCUGGGUUCAGAACGUCGUGAGACAGUUCGGUCCAUAUCCGGUGUAGGCGUUAGAAUAUUGAGAGGAGCCUUCUUUAGUACGAGAGGACCGAGAAGGACAUACCUCUGGUGUACCAGUUAUCGUGCCAACGGUAAACGCUGGGUAGCUAUGUAUGGAGUGGAUAACCGCUGAAAGCAUCUAAGUGGGAAGCCCACCUCAAGAUAAG
RNAcentral lists this ribosomal RNA (1233 nucleotides) under metagenome. RNAcentral describes it as "bacterial LSU rRNA". It matches the Rfam family "Bacterial large subunit ribosomal RNA", at positions 1564 to 2808 of the family's 2925-position model. The record is from RNAcentral.